This is a long non-coding RNA of Dermochelys coriacea (leatherback sea turtle), 685 nucleotides long. RefSeq lists it as uncharacterized. NCBI's taxonomy places the organism in Eukaryota, Metazoa, Chordata, Testudines, Dermochelyidae. The transcript has 3 exons. The record is from RefSeq and is a predicted model, not a curated record.
CGCCCUUGGGGGCCGGCGCCCGCUCGCAGUUGCAGCCCUCCAGCAUGUACAUGCCGGCGGGCCGGGCGCUCCUGCUCGCUCUCGAAGUAGAAGAGCACGUUCUGGUAGAGCGCGAACCACUUCUCGUGCCAGCGGCUGGUCUCCGCCGUCUUCUUGCUCAGUGUGAAACAGCUGCUGCAUUCCAAAGCAGAAGUACCUGCAUUCCAGCAAUGGGGAAAAUGAUACACAUAUAUAGCAUAUAACAUGCUUUAUGAUUCUUCUAGAUGAAAGACAACAAAAAAUGAGCUCAACAGUACUGCCAGCAAUGUUGUACAGCAGCAAAACAUGGAUACUGACAAAGAUAGAGGAGCAACAACUGUGUCACAGAGAGGGCGACAGAAAAGAAUUCUGGGGAUUUCAAUCUGCCACCGAGUCCCCAGUGAAGUGAUCAGACAGUAGAGUGGAGUGCAGGAUAUCAUUGUUGAAAGCAGGUACAGUAAAAUGCGAUAGGCCGGGCAUAUAGCUAGGCUCACUGAUAAUCAAUAGAUUACAGCUGUUGCCAAGUGGUACCCAGGGGAACUGAAACGACCACUUUGCCAACCUCUAAAGAGAUGGGAAGGUUUAAUUGCAGAAAGGCAUGGCCACACAUGGGAGAAGGAAGGCCAGGAUAAAAAGAAUGGAAGAUGUGUUGUGAUUGACACAAUCU